Molecule: ribosomal RNA, 460 nt
Filed under: uncultured bacterium
Lineage: Bacteria
Description: partial 16S ribosomal RNA
Rfam family: Bacterial small subunit ribosomal RNA
Source: RNAcentral
CCUACGGGCGGCAGCAGUGAGGAAUAUUGGUCAAUGGGCGUAAGCCUGAACCAGCCAAGUCGCGUGAGGGAUGAAGGUUCUAUGGAUCGUAAACCUCUUUUAUAAGGGAAUAAAGUGUGGGACGUGUCCUGUUUUGUAUGUACCUUAUGAAUAAGGAUCGGCUAACUCCGUGCCAGCAGUCGCGGUAAUACGGAGGAUCCGAGCGUUAUCCGGAUUUAUUGGGUUUAAAGGGUGCGUAGGCGGCCUUUUAAGUCAGCGGUGAAAGUCUGUGGCUCAACCAUAGAAUUGCCGUUGAAACUGGGAGGCUUGAGUAGGUUGGAGGCAGGCGGAAUGCGUGGUGUAGCGGUGAAAUGCUUAGAUAUCACGCAGAACCCCGAUUGCGAAGGCAGCCUGCCAAGCCAUGACUGACGCUGAUGCACGAAAGCGUGGGGAUCAAACAGGAUUAGAUACCCGAGUAGUC